This 396-nucleotide ribosomal RNA is filed under the name uncultured bacterium. Its description in RNAcentral is "partial 16S ribosomal RNA". It matches the Rfam family "Bacterial small subunit ribosomal RNA", at positions 523 to 918 of the family's 1533-position model. The record is from RNAcentral.
AUACGUAGGUGGCAAGCGUUGUCCGGAAUUAUUGGGCGUAAAGCGCAUGUAGGCGGUGCCUUAAGUCUGUCGUGAAAUUGAGGGGCUUACCCCCGUAUGGCGAUGGAAACUGUGGCACUUGAGUGCAGGAGAGGAAAGGGGAACUCCCAGUGUAGCGGUGAAAUGCGUAGAUAUUGGGAAGAACACCGGUGGCGCAGGCGGCUUUCUGGACUGUGUCUGACGCUGAGAUGCGAAAGCCAGGGUAGCGAACGGGAUUAGAUACCCCGGUAGUCCUGGCCGUAAACGAUGGGUACUAGGUGUGGGAGGUAUCGACCCCUUCCGUGCCGGAGUUAACGCAAUAAGUACCCCGCCUGGGGAGUACGGCCGCAAGGCUUAAACUCAAAGGAAUUGACGGGG